This 544-nucleotide ribosomal RNA is filed under the name uncultured bacterium. Its description in RNAcentral is "bacterial SSU rRNA". It matches the Rfam family "Bacterial small subunit ribosomal RNA", at positions 8 to 548 of the family's 1533-position model. The record is from RNAcentral.
AGAGUUUGAUCAUGGCUCAGGAUGAACGCUGGCGGCGUGCCUAAUACAUGCAAGUCGAACGCGAGCAGCAAUGCUCGAGUGGCGAACGGGUGAGUAAUACAUAAGUAACCUGCCCUAGACAGGGGGAUAACUGCUGGAAACGGCAGCUAAGACCGCAUAGGUAUGGACACUGCAUGGUGACCAUAUUAAAAGUGCCAAGGCACUGGUAGAGGAUGGACUUAUGGCGCAUUAGCUGGUUGGUGGGGUAACGGCCUACCAAGGCUGCGAUGCAUAGCCGACCUGAGAGGGUGAUCGGCCACACUGGGACUGAGACACGGCCCAGACUCCUACGGGAGGCAGCAGUAGGGAAUCUUCGGCAAUGGACGCAAGUCUGACCGAGCAACGCCGCGUGAGUGAAGAAGGUUUUCGGAUCGUAAAACUCUGUUGUUAGAGAAGAACAAGGAUGAGAGUGGAAAGUUCAUCCCUUGACGGUAUCUAACCAGAAAGCCACGGCUAACUACGUGCCAGCAGCCGCGGUAAUACGUAGGUGGCAAGCGUUGUCCGG